Thalassophryne amazonica is the source of this 123-nucleotide long non-coding RNA. RefSeq lists it as uncharacterized. Lineage: Eukaryota; Metazoa; Chordata; Actinopteri; Batrachoidiformes; Batrachoididae. The transcript is spliced from 3 exons. The record is from RefSeq and is a predicted model, not a curated record.
GACAUGCAGUUUCUCUGUCACCGAAAGCGCACGUCAUGUCAGACAUGUAAUCUGCACCGCGAUUACUGUUAUGAUGACAACCUGUAGCAAUAACUAAAAACCUGUCUCACUUACUGAAAACCU